RNAcentral lists this ribosomal RNA (434 nucleotides) under Orsolobus montt. Its description in RNAcentral is "partial 16S ribosomal RNA". The record is from RNAcentral. Lineage: Eukaryota; Metazoa; Arthropoda; Arachnida; Araneae; Orsolobidae.
CAUUUUUAGAUAUUAUUAAAAAUAAAUCCUGCUCAAUGAAUAUUUUCAAUAGCUGCAAUUUAUUGUACUAAGGUAGCAUAAUCAAUUGCCUUUUAAAUAAAGGAUAGAAUGAAAGGACAAACGAAUUUCAGACUUUCUUUAAAUUUCAAAACAAAAUUACAUAAUGAGUAAAAAUUCUCAUUCACUCAGAAAGACGACAAGACCCUAUUGAACUUCACACACGUUUAGCUGGGGAAGCAAUUUAACAAAAUCUUAAAAAUAAUCUUUUAAAAAAGAACCUUUUUGAUACUUGACCAAGUUACCAUAGGGAUAACAGCAUAAUAAAAUUUUAAAGCUCAUAUUUUAAAUUAAGUUUAUGACCUCGAUGUUGAAUAAUAAUCUAGUACAAUGCAAAAAUUUACUAAGAAAGACUGUUCGUCUUUUAAAUAAUUACA